GAAGAAACUACCGGAGGCCAGAAGC
This 25-nucleotide non-coding RNA is filed under the name Cricetulus griseus (Chinese hamster). The record is from RNAcentral. Lineage: Eukaryota; Metazoa; Chordata; Mammalia; Rodentia; Cricetidae.